GUUUGAGGGAUCGUGCUGCUCUUGCAAGGGACUCACAGAAGCUCCAGCACAGCCAGCCAGUUCACAGCCAGUAACUCCAGCUUCAGAGCUCUGCAGCAAUGCCUUUGACUGUGGGGCCUGCACUCAUAGGCACCUACCCACCACCUACCUACACACACACACUCACUCACUUACUCUUCACACACACACACUCUAUACACACACACUCUUUACACACACACACACACUCUUCACACACACACACUCUUCACACACACACACUCUUCACACACACACUCUUCACACACACACACUCUACACACACACACUCUUCACACACACACUCUUCACACACACACUCUUCACAUACACACACUCUACACACACACACUCUUCACACACACACACUCUACACACACACACACUCUUCACACACACACUCUACAUACACACUCUCACACACACACUCUACACACACACACUCUACACACACACACUCUUCAUACACACUCUUCACACACACACACACACACACACACACACACACACACACACUCUGACAGCUGAGAAGUAGGAGGCUCAGACUCUUUUGAACAGGGAAUCUUCAGUUUUGCUUCAUUUUCCCAUGUUUCCAUGGGUUGUUUGUCAGAAUGUGAGCAGCUGUGACAGAAACUUGUCCUGGUCUUUGGCUUCAGGGUUGGUUUUUUCUGCGUUAAAACAGUCUAUGGAGCCUAUGAGGCCUUCUCUGCUUCUCUAGGAAGGCCCAAGUUUGAAAAAUCCUUGGGUCAGUAAUCCCUCGUAGAGAUCUGGGUUAACCCUUCUAUUGAGGGGGAAACCGAGGCCAAGAGAGCACUAGUGAUUUUCUUGAGGUACUGUGGUAAGACUGCAUGAUGGACCUUUCUUCAAGGCCUGUUCCACAAAGGAUCCUUGCCAGCACGAGCUAUCCUGCAAAGUUUUUCAAUUUAAUUCCCAUUGGUGCUGAGAAAGAUACCUAUGCAGACUUGAUGUCAGACCAUGAGGUCUGUCUGUCUUUCUUUCUUUCUUUCUUUCUUUCUUUCUUUCUUUCUUUCUUUUUCUUUUCUUUUUUUCGGAGCUGGGGACCGAACCCAGGGCCUUGCGCUUGCUAGGCAAGCGCUCUACCACUGAGCUAAAUCCCCAACCCCAGGCCUUUAUUUAUUUAUUGAGGUUUUUUGUUUGUUUUUGUUUUGAGACAGGGUCUCCACUUUGUAGCCCUGGCUACUCUGAAAUUCUCUAUGUAGACCAGGCUGGCCUCAAAUUCACAGAGGGCCACCUGCCUCUGUCUCCUGAGUGCUAAGAUAGAAGUCGUGAGCUACCGCACCUGACCCUGACCACCACGCUUUAAAUGUAGACCUUGUUACUGGCUGUACAGGCUUGUGCAAGUUUCCCUCCCCUCUGAGCCUCUCUUACCUGUGGUGUGGGAAACUGCUUUGCUUCUAAGGCUGGGAACAAUUGGUAGAGGUGUGUGUGAGUGCCGGUGGGAAGCCCUUGGUGUGCUACAAACGACUGUUGACUUGUGUGCUCUGUACUGAUUCUUUGUGGGUAUCAGGCAGGGGGUUGGGUUAGGUUCAUUGGCUGAAGAUGUCCCUUACUAAUAAAGCCCUGCUUAGAAACCCUGGGUUACAUUUCCAGCUCAUCAUUUGGGGGGAGGGAGAGCAAGAUCAAAAUUGAAAACAGGAGGCCAGCUUUUUACACAAGACCCUGUCUCAAAAAUCAACCAGUCAUGUCGGGCCUUCAAUCCUUUAUUUCCAGCACUCAGGAGGCAGAGUCAGGUGAAUCUCUGAGUUCCAGGCCACCCUGGUCUAUCUACAGUGAGUUCCAGAACAGCCAGGGCUACACAGAGGGACACUGUCUGCAAAAACAGACAAAAUAAAUCAGUUGUUCAAUCUACCAACCUACUGAGCAUCUGCAUGGGAUUUGUUUUUUCUUUGAGACAGGGUUUCUCUUCUGUGUCCUGAAACUUGCUCUGUAGACCAGGCUGGUCCACUCCACCUGCCUCUGUUUCACCAGUGUUGAGAUUGAAAGUGUGCGGCACCAUGUCUGACCUUCUGUUUGCGACAGAGGCCACGUUUCACCUCUUGCCGACCCUCCUGCCCACUCUUGCAGUUAGUGCUACAGAUGUCCACUGUCACACCCAGCCUUAGUUCAGGAUUAUUGAAUGUCAGAGCCGGAUGGACCUCUGAGGACGUCUGUGGGGGAGGAUUCGGUGUUAGCUGUGGAGGCUGCUGAUAUCCCAAGAGCAUUUGGUGUGGAGCCAGAGGGAGACUUCUAAGGGGGUCCUGUUCCUGGGGCUCUGCGCUUUGUUAACAACAUCAGUUAUGCCCACUCUCCACCUCACAGGGCCAUACUGCCUCAAUCUGACACCGGUGCUGUUCACUGGAGAGCAAGCCUAUAGUUUAGAAACUGGAAAACUUGGAUUUGUAAGCUUGGCUCAGCCAGACCCUCAGGCCUAAAAGGGUGAGAGUCUUGGAAUGAAUAUCUCCUGAGGUGGGUAAUCAAAGCUAGGAUUUUCCUUGGCCACUGUGGAACAGGAAAAAAGUUAGCAUUCAAAGUCAUGGCAGGCCCUGACUAGUCAGCAUCUUCUGGGUAGGAAAAGUACAAGCACAAAGAAGGCAGCUCCCCACUCCCCAGGGUCUGAGAGAAAAGCGGUUGCUGUUGCAAUGACUUUGGCAGUGAACCUACAUCUUCCUCAGCUCAGGACAACAGCGUCCAGUACGUCCCAGCCCUGGACCAAUUCUGUGUCAGCUCUGGGUGGUGAGAGUGGAGACAGCCAAUGAAAGAGCCAGGAGCCUGUGCGAUGGUCCUGCACCAAGCUGGAAAUAACCAGACGUCAGGCACACGUGACCGUUUCCAUGGUGACCUCCCUUAGCAACCCUGUUUAUGAACUCGGGAAAAUUCCAUCCAGCCUCUAGCCUGAAUUUUCUUCUUACCUCUCAUCCACCUCCUCCUGUUCCAGCACAGAGAUAAAGAGCCUGAGGCUUUCCUGACACAACUUCCGCCCCAGAGAAAGCAAGCAAGCCAAGAAGUUACUAUUGACCCACAUGGGAACACAGAAGUCAGUCAACAAACAAGUCAUCAUCCCAGGGAGUACGUGCUGGGCAGAGACUGUGUCACUGUGGUCAUCAUCCCAGGAAAUGCGUGCUGCACAGAGACUGUGUCACUGUGGGUGGAGCCGAGGGAUGCCUGGAGGUCAAGAGUCCUUGGGAGGAGUGAUGCUCUGCCUGUGACUAGAAUGACUUUGCUAUUUGAAGUUCUGUGCUGGGGCAGGAGUUGGGGGAGGGCAGGGAACAUUCCAGGCUUGUUGAAUCUGGACAGGGCCAGCAUGAGGACACAGGCGGCCUCCAUAGCCUCUUCCCUCUCUGUCCUAUAACCUUUCGCUCUCCUAACUUCAGGACUCCAUGUUUUUGGUCUUGGCUCCCAGCGCUGUUCAAAAGUCAGUGCCUCCCCAGAUCAAGGGUGGUCCUUCUGUGUAGGUAACAGUGUCCUUACUCUGUGCAGGUGCCUCGGAGGGAGCCCUCACUCCAGGCCCCAUGUCACUUCCCUUGUUCACCCCAACGCCUGGACCCCCAAACCAGUCUUGUAAAUUGUGAGGGCGUGGACCCUUUCUGUUCUGCCCAGGACACUUUCCACUCUGGCCCCUCAUUGACUCCCGUGAGUCCUGCUUAUUUCGUUUGUAUUUGAGACACAGUGCAUGUAGAGGUCAGAUGACUUGUAGGACUCAGUUCUCUCCUACGAAGUAGACAGGGAGGAACUGAACUAGGGUCAGUGGACUCCGUGGGAAUGUCCUUACCUGCUGAGCCACCCAGAGAGCCUGGAAAAUGUGACUUUUGGGUGGCAGAUAUAUCCAUUGUAAAUGAGGGGCAUGGAUUCAAAUUAAAGAAUUUCAGGGCAGGGAGAAAAACGUCAAAAUUAUCUUAUGGAACUCUGUUGCAAUGCAGGAAAUCUUCAGACUUGAAUGAUGCAGUCACUGGGCUCCUGCGGCUUUCCAUAUGGAGGGUGUCGUGGGCUUCACAGACCCACUUUGCCUCAAGCCCAGAACAGCUGGGCCCUAUAUCCAUCACUGCGGCCUCUGGUUCUCACCUGGCAGUGUCUUAAACACACCUGGCCAAGAUCCCGGACAUUUCUUUCCAGAAGACUUGCUUCUGUAGGAUGACAUGCAGUUCUAUGAAGAAGGAAGAGGGGUGUGUGGGGGUGGGGCGGGGGUGGACAGGUGUGCAGUAUUUAAUGAGCAUCACGCUGGGGCUGGACAGUCUGGGCCAACAUAAAUAUCCUCCAGAGAUCUUAAGCAGGUGACUGAGCACAUCAGGGACACAAGAAUGCGGAAGUAAGCCACUUCAGAAGCCUCGCUAUUGCUUUAGGCCAUUCCAGAAGGUCCAUUCAGCAGGCCCCAGAGGCCCCAGCAUAGGGGAGGGCUGGCCAAGUACCUCCCUCCCACGGUGCCUCAGAUUCAGUGGAAGGACAGCAAGAGCUGAGCCACUCUGGAGAGUGAAUGCUGAUCCUACACUCCACCCACUCCAGCACCCCAGAGGAAAGAAGAGUUGUUAGCUUCAGACACUGGGCAGCACAAAACCAUUCCGGCCUAUUCUGGUGGGAUAUCCAUUCUCAAUGCUGCUACUCCCUCUGGAACCCGCCCACUCCCAACCACCCCUGAACUCAGCAACAGCAACGAACUUUGGAGACCCUCUAUGGUAGACAUACUAUGACUGGGUUUAAUCUCCAUCCUUGUGGGACACUUCUGGACCAUUGUCCCAUCACAGACACCUCCCACACCGGGUCACAAGCAUACUUCCAGAAGCAUGAACUCUUUCAACCACUGUUCUUGUAUUUGCUUAUUUAUAUGCUGUUGUUAUUGCUGAGAUGAAGGCUCGCUAUGUUGUCCAGACUGGUCUCAAAUUCCUGGACUCAUGUGACCCUCUUGCCUCAGCCUCUGGAAUGCCUAGAAACUACAGGUGUCUACCACAAGCCCUGGCUGUGUGUCAUAAAUCUCAAAAGAGCUACCAUUCCAGUUUGUUUUGAGACAGAAUCUCUGACUCAUGCUGGUCUUGAACCCCCUAAGUAGGGAGGAUGACCCUGAACUCCUGAUUCUUUCAGUUCCAUCCUUCAAGUGCUGGGAUUAUAGGCCUGGGCCAUCAUGCCCAGUUUCUAUGGUGCUGGGGUUUCCUGCAUGGUGGGCAAAUAUUCUACCAACUAAGCUAUACACACCCCUCCUAACUACCUCCUGCUACACCACACACACACACACACACACACACACACACACACACAGCUCACUCACAUAGUCAUUCCUCAGUACACGGGAGCUCCUACUAUGUGCUUGGUACUUCUCACACAAAGAAACAGAACAUUGGGCCUCAGUUCUUGGUCUAAGAGCUCUCGGUAGCCUCUUCCUCACAGGGUUUUAAUGAAGGAUGGAAGCUUUGCACAGGGCUCCCGUGUGUUAGAGAAGUGGGAUACACUGGUUAAAUGUCAUGUUCGCGGGAUGCCAGAGGGACCAAGGGGAGCCUGGCAGCUAGCAGCCAGGGGAGAGAAAGCUAGUUACUCUUCAUCCAGUACCAACGGGCCCAAAAGAGACUGGAGGGAAAACCCUAGAAACAUGACCUACUGGUGUGGACCCAGUCGGGGCUGUUCAGGGUUUGAAGCUGGAGAGGGUCAGAGCCACACCUCUGGAGAAUGCCAUCUUGCUUUCUGUUGUCAGUCCUCAUCCCUUAUCCCUUGGUACUACCACUGUCUCUACAGCCAGGCCUUCUAGAAAGCUCUACAGACACUGCAAGGCCUACAGCUAAUUACACAGUUACUAAACAGCCAAAGGCUCUGAAGCACUCAGGGCGGGGUCACAGUCGGGUUCCUCCAGACACCUCCUCCCCCAGGAGGCUUCUAGUUAACUUGGAAUCUUUCCUAUACUUUUUCAUUUGUAGAAACAGGGUUUCUCUGUGUAGCCCCACCUGUCCUGGAACUUGCUCUGUAGACCAGGCAGGCCUAGUACUCAGAGAUCUGCCUGCUACCAUUAGCCAGCUAUCGUUCCUAAUUUUUUUCUUUUCUUUUUUUAAAUUUUUAUUUGAUAUAUUUCUUUACUUACAUUUCAAACGUUAUUGCCCUUCCCAGUUUCCUGUCCAUAAGCCCCCAUUCCCUCCCUUCCCCCUCCCCCAUACGGGUGUUCUCCCUAUACAUCCCCCUUAUUGCCCCCUUUUUUUAAAAAUUGACUUUUAAAAAUUUAUUUUAUGUGUGCUGGGAGGUCAGAGGGCUGCCUCCUCACUCCUGUGGGAUCUAAGGCUUAAAGUCAGGCCCAGAUUUAACAGCAAGGGCCUUUAACAGGCUCAGCUGUCUCAGGUGCUGUCAGCCAGCCCCUUCCUAAAAAAAAACACUAGAGGAGGCAACAAGAAGGCCCAGUGCCUGCUUCUCCUUCCCUGGUUACCUCAGCUCCUGUGGCAGGUUGCUGCUCCCCUCUCAACUUGGGAUCUGCAAUGACACAGUCAGUUUCCAUUCCUGGGCCCAGGUUCUCUGUGUGAAGUGGGCCUCCGUGACUGACUUUUACCCUCUCUCCAGGAUACAUUAGUUAGCUGUCCAGAGCCCCCAAAGGAAACAAGGCUUUCUCCCAUAUGACCAACCUCUGCUUCCUUCGUCAUUUCUGUAGGUUUUUUUUUUUUUUCCUGCAGUGGGAGUAGCCCAAAUUUGUGCUGCAAACUUAAGAGGUUCACAUUGUUCCAAAGAUCUUUAAAAAAAAAAAAAAUCAGCCCUGGGAAGGUGGGUGAGUGGAUGGGAACUGCAAAUUCAGUCUUCUGGAAACAAAGCUGUUUUCUUUGAAUAAUCUCCUCCCAAGCUCAGCCCUUCCCCCUCUUCCCCGCCUACCGGAGCCUUACAGAUAAAAUUCACGGGAUGGGACCUAGUAGCACAGGCUUGGGAAGAAUGAGUGCCAGUGGACUUGCUCAGUCUGGUCCCUGUUCCCAGCGCUAAACUAAGAGAAGUAGCCAUUCCUUUGCCAAAGCCUGAUACGCCUUUGUACCCUGCAAGGGCUGGGUGGACUGCAGUGUUCUCUGAGGAUUUCUGGCCCGUUGUCUUAAUUCUGAAUUACUGCUGCUUCAGUCAUUUUCAGGGUCACAACUCCUCCAGGCCACAGGCAAGAAGUCUAAAAUCUUCCAUGUUCUUUCUCCACCCCUUUGUUUACAGAACCAGCAUCACCUGCUGUCUCAACUCUCUGCUUGCACAUUAGGAAAUUACCAUUCCAAAGUCAUUGGGUUCAUCCCCAAGGUCCCAGGGAUGUGUGUCCGGGAUGUGCCUGCCAGGAACAGGCACUCGAAGAGCUUCUGGUUUUGGCCUGGGCUCCUUUAAGGGGCUGACUAAAAUGGCUGUUUCUCCUUUAGUGUCUGUGGUACCCUUUGAGCCAACGAGGACUGCACAGUGAGAUGCUCCAUAAAGAAGUAAACAGGAAAAGAGGGUUAGGCAUGCAGCUCAGAGAUGGGCUGUUUACCUUGCAAGCUCGAGGGCUGGGGUUCAAUUCUUAACAUUGGAAAAAGAAAAAUCCAGAAAAGACCCACUAAACAAACAGAGGCAAGAAUCAGAGUGGUUUGGAAACUACUAAAGCCUGUUUGUGAAGUAAAAAGAAGGGGGAAGACAGCAGGCAUUUGGGCCCUAGCAAUUAAAAAUAGGUAGUUCAGAAUGUUCUCUAAAAAUGUUACUUCUCAUGGUGUGAUCAUUAUGAGCUUCCUCCCUGCCUUUGCAAACCAUGUCUUUUGGGUGAGUUUCUGGAGUGACCCUGCAGCCUGUUUCUCUCUCCAAACCCUGGGACUGGCCCAGUGCUUCACAACCAUUCCAACAGCAAGGAAAAGUUUGUAUGACCUGUGAAGGAAACAAAACUGGAUUUGCGGACAAGCACUUUUAGGGUCUGAGGGAGAGGAAGGUGGAUGGCUUGCCUAGUUUACCCUAUCUGCAGCGUUCCAACAACAACAACAACAACAACAACAACGACAUCUCUAGUUUCUGACACAGAGUCACGCCUUUAAUCCCAGCACCCAGAAGGCAGGCACUGACAAAUCUCCUAGUUUCCAGGCUGGCCAGGGAUAUAUAGUUUAAGGACAACUUGGCAGUGAGACCCUGUCUCCAAACAAAACAUACCACGCUAUACAUUUUAACUGUUUUUUUUUUUUUUUUUAACUUAGGGUCUCCUUUGUCUAGGCUCACCUGGAACUCUCUAUGUCGAACAUGCUGGCCUCCAACUCGCAGUGAAGCAGCACUACGGUUUUAAACAUUGGUUUCAUUUCCCUAGCCUCCAGAACAAGUCUUAAUCCCCCCCCCGCCCCCCCAGGCAAAUCAGGAACAGAAGGUCGGGGGAGGAGAGGGAGGUGGGUUGAAAAUGAAGGAUGAGAGCCUUCUGCUAGUUAACUUUGCCUAAUUUUAGACGAAUCACGAAUUCCCUAGACUCAAAUCCCCGCCUGUAAUUUAGGUGACUCAAGUUUUCGUCUUUUCAGAACUAAAAUUCUAAAAAAUUUCCAGGCCCAAAGCCUCCAUCAAGUGUGUAUCUAAAGGGAACGGUUUGCACUCAGUAACAUUCCAUUCUUUAGGGCUUUUUACAGACAGAAAAAGAAAAGUAGGGCAGCUUUGCAAGGGUCAGUUGAAAGCUGCAUAAACAAGCCCCGGGCUUGGUAGCAUACAGCUUUAAUCCCAGUACUUGGAUAAGGACCUGAGUUCGAGGCCAGCCUGGUCGACAGAGUGGGUUCUAGGAUAGCCAAGGCUACACAGAUAAACCUUGUCUCAGGAAAAAUAAAUAAGCAAGUGAGCGAGCGAGUUUAAACUGGCCAUGGUUAGAGCCCCACCUCAAUAUAAGGGGGCCUCUCUCCUUUAGUUUUAGGAAUAGAGUAUUCGUGUAAUUUCAUGUUAUUACUGACCAUAUCCUCUUAAAGCCUCCCUAUUUGCAGGUCCUGGAACGUAGAUCUGGGGAGUCGGUGCCGCCAGCCAGUCUUGUGAUUGCUAGCUCUGGACUUCUGUGUGCCCCGGAGCGCUGUUUCACAUGACUCCCCUGGCUUCUCUAAAAACAGAGGUUAUAGCCUCCAGGUUACAGGAUCAACCCGAGACUCGCUUCCCUUGAAAAUUCUAGAAUAUAGAGUAAACGUAGAAGCAUUCAAAGUAUGUAUGGUAAUACUUAAUGGAUGACAUAGACACCAAAAAAAAGCCAGCUCAGUGGGCCCCGUAGGUUGCAUUAAGGGACGACCAGGAAACGGCAGCACAGCCACCGGCAGCCGCCCUGCCCCCACACCAGUCAUUCCCGCACCUAGAUCCAGGCGCUGGGGGCGGGGCGGGGCGCGCCUGCGCAGCGAAGCUCUGCGGCAACAACUUUGCCUAGACCGGCUGGAACCGGUUAGAACCGGCCGCGCCCGACCGGCCGCCCGCUCCCGAUUCUGCGCUUCACAAAGGGAGGCGGCGACUCACGACCUGCGUAUCCUUGCGCGUCCCCACCCCCGCCCCCCACCCCCACCCCCCUUGUCCCUGUGGCAUUCGCGUUCCUUCCCGCCGUCUCCCUCGCGGGCCGCUUCUCUGCGCCUGGUGAUCCUUUCGCCAUGGUCCUCUGGAGAAAGAAAAAAUCUUUAAUUUCUAGGGACGUCCUUUCCUGUACGUCGUAAUUGUAGAAAGGCAUGAGAACAGGAAGCCUAAAGUAGUGUACAUCUCGAAACCCAGCCACUGUGGGGCUGUGGGGGUUGUGCUCCGCAUGGCCGCCAAGGUCACUGUGUCCUCACAAGCAGCGACCGUCGCUUUGCUAGCCUGAGAUCAUGGCACCACAGCCUUGGGUCAGGGGUCGUCUGCUGGGCUUUGCUAGUUUGGAACGAGGACCUGGCAGCCUAAAUGGCUGACGUUUGCAAGCACCAAAGCACUCGUUAACCAAGGCUCAGAAUAAAGUUCUCGUGGGCAGCCGGGGACUGCAGAUCGUCCUACAGGUGGAUGUUCUCAGCAUCCCGAGCCUAAGCCAGUACUAAGCAAAGUGCUAUCACCUCAGGAACAACUCGCAGGGCCAGGUCAUUUUCGAGAAACCUCCAUUUUGUUUAUGAAAAUGGCUGCCGCUCCGGGAGUCACAAAAUAAAGGAAACUGUGUUAGUCAUGUUUUUCAUCUUGUGACUCAAACUUUUAAACUAUUUGUACUUGCUGGUACAACUUUAAUAUUUCUCUGUAUUAGCAAGGUCCCGAGGCCCACGCACCAUCAGGAAAAAUCUAGAAACUUGGAAGUAGGGCUCUAUUUUUAACUCUCUGAGGAACUAUUUUUCUUCCUUCACCGAGGCGGUGGAGGGUUACUAGGUUCCGGUGGAGUGACGUGUCCCUUCGCAAUAAAAAGGGAGCUCCGAGCCUUGCGUCAGGCAUUCAGGCAGCGAGCACAGGCACCUGGUGAGGCAGGAGACUCAGCCUGAGGCAUUCGCAGAUAAGUUUCUAUUUAAAAAGAUUUAAAAGGAAACUAGAACUCUAAACUUAAUAGAGUAGCUUACUGAGAUAAUAAUAUUUUAAUAUUAAGAUUUUAAAAGAAAAGUAUGGAGGUUUAUUUAAACAAUUUGAAAAAGGAAAAGAGAAAAAUUUUUGUACCACCAGAUGGAGGCUGACCUGAGGCGUUUAUUCAGAGUAGUUUAGAAGAUUGUAAAAGGGAGCAAUUGUGGAGUUUCAAAGGUUCUAGCUUGAGGGUCAGCCUUGUUAGGUGUACUUUUAAACGAAGGUUACCUAAACAGAAUCUAAAUGGCUUUUUAAAAUUGUAAAGUUGUAGAUAAUAGUUUGAAAAUGAGAUGUAGUUUAAAAAGAUUGAAAAAAGUAAGUUGAAGGGCCGUUAUAAGAGUCGACUGUCGCAUGUACGAAGGCAUGAGUUGGAAACGGGGAAUGGAAGUGGUAGGGUUAGUAUUUUGAGAAAGAAGAUUAGAAAAUGGAAGUGGAAAAAUGAAGACAAGUUCAGGAAGGUGAAGAAAAGCUGUAGAGAAGAUAGGAAAAUAGAAGACCGAAGAAUCAUUAGAAGACAGAAAAGGUAUUUAAACACACAGGUAGGAAGAAAACUAGAAGAUAGAAAAAAAGCAAGAUAGAAAGACAAAAGGAA
Rattus norvegicus (Norway rat) is the source of this 11050-nucleotide non-coding RNA. The record is from RefSeq and is a predicted model, not a curated record. Lineage: Eukaryota; Metazoa; Chordata; Mammalia; Rodentia; Muridae.